GUGAGGAAUUUUCCGCAAUGGGCGAAAGCCUGACGGAGCAAUGCCGCGUGAAGGAUGAAGGCCUAUGGGUUGUAAACUUCUUUUCUCAGAAAAGAAUUAUGACGGUAUCUGAGGAAUAAACAUCGGCUAACUCUGUGCCAGCAGCCGCGGUAAGACAGAGGAUGCAAGCGUUAUCCGGAAUGAUUGGGCGUAAAGCGUCUGUAGGUUGUUUAAAAAGUAUUCUGUCAAAGAUUAGGGCUUAACCCUAGAUAGGCAGAAUAAACUUUUAAGCUAGAGUUUGGUAGAGGCAGAGGGAAUUCCCGGUGGAGCGGUGAAAUGCGUAGAUAUCGGGAGGAACACCAAAGGCGAAGGCACUCUGCUGGGCCAAUACUAACACUGAGAGACGAAAGCGAGGGGAGCAAAUGGGAUUAGAUACCCGGGUAGUCC
This 426-nucleotide ribosomal RNA is filed under the name uncultured bacterium. RNAcentral describes it as "partial 16S ribosomal RNA". It matches the Rfam family "Bacterial small subunit ribosomal RNA", at positions 354 to 796 of the family's 1533-position model. The record is from RNAcentral.